RNAcentral lists this ribosomal RNA (231 nucleotides) under uncultured bacterium. Its description in RNAcentral is "partial 16S ribosomal RNA". It matches the Rfam family "Bacterial small subunit ribosomal RNA", at positions 99 to 334 of the family's 1533-position model. The record is from RNAcentral.
CGGACGGGUGAGUAAUGUCUGGGGAAACUGCCUGAUGGAGGGGGAUAACUACUGGAAACGGUAGCUAAUACCGCAUAACGUCGCAAGACCAAGAGGGGACCUUCGGGCCUCUUGCCAUCGGAUGUGCCCAGAUGGGAUUAGCUAGUAGGUGGGGUAACGGCUCACCUAGGCGACGAUCCCUAGCUGGUCUGAGAGGAUGACCAGCCACACUGGAACUGAGACACGGUCCAG